GACGAAGGGGGCUAGCGUUGUUCGGAAUUACUGGGCGUAAAGCGCGCGUAGGCGGAUCGAUCAGUCAGGGGUGAAAUCCCAGGGCUCAACCCUGGAACUGCCUUUGAUACUGUCGAUCUGGAGUAUGGAAGAGGUGAGUGGAAUUCCGAGUGUAGAGGUGAAAUUCGUAGAUAUUCGGAGGAACACCAGUGGCGAAGGCGGCUCACUGGUCCAUUACUGACGCUGAGGUGCGAAAGCGUGGGGAGCAAACGGG
This 253-nucleotide ribosomal RNA is filed under the name uncultured bacterium. Its description in RNAcentral is "partial 16S ribosomal RNA". It matches the Rfam family "Bacterial small subunit ribosomal RNA", at positions 524 to 776 of the family's 1533-position model. The record is from RNAcentral.